This 860-nucleotide ribosomal RNA is filed under the name Phylloporia gutta. Its description in RNAcentral is "eukaryotic LSU rRNA". It matches the Rfam family "Eukaryotic large subunit ribosomal RNA", at positions 76 to 915 of the family's 3401-position model. Lineage: Eukaryota; Fungi; Basidiomycota; Agaricomycetes; Hymenochaetales; Hymenochaetaceae. The record is from RNAcentral.
UCCCCUAGUAACUGCGAGUGAAGCGGGAAGAGCUCAAAUUUGUAAUCUGGCGGUCUCUGGCCGUCCGAGUUGUAAUCUGUAGAGGCGUCGUCCGCGUCGGCCCGUGUACAAGUCUCCUGGAAUGGAGCGUCAUAGAGGGUGAGAAUCCCGUCCAUGACACGGAUCACCGAUGCUCUGUGAGGUGCCCUCGAAGAGUCGCGUUGUUUGGGAAUGCAGCGCAAAAUGGGUGGUAAAUUCCAUCUAAGGCUAAAUAUUGGCGAGAGACCGAUAGCGAACAAGUACCGUGAGGGAAAGAUGAAAAGCACUUUGAAAAGAGAGUUAAACAGUACGUGAAAUUGUUGAAAGGGAAACGCUUGAAGUCAGUCGCGUCUCGAGGCACUCAGCCUUGCUUCGGCUUGGUGUACUUGCCUUGGGAUGGGUCAACAUCGAUUUUGGUUGGUGGACAAGGGUGAGGGGAAUGUAGCGUCGUUUCGGUGACGUGUUAUAGCCUCUUGUCGAAUACGCCAGCUGGGAUUGAGGACCGCAGCACGCCCUUGUGGCCGAGGGUUCGCCCUACGUAACGUGCUUAGGAUGUUGGCAUAAUGGCUUUAAGCGACCCGUCUUGAAACACGGACCAAGGAGUCUAACAUGCUUGCGAGUGUUCGGGUGGAAAACCCUUGCGCAUAAUGAAAGUGAAAGUUGGGAGCCUUCGUAGGGGGUGCACUGACGCCCGGCCCUGACGUUCUCUGAUGGUGCUGCGGUAGAGCAAGUAUGUUGGGACCCGAAAGAUGGUGAACUAUGCCUGAAUAGGGUGAAGCCAGAGGAAACUCUGGUGGAGGCUCGUAGCGAUUCUGACGUGCAAAUCGAUCGUCAAAUUUGGG